RNAcentral lists this small nuclear RNA (103 nucleotides) under Solanum tuberosum (potato). Lineage: Eukaryota; Viridiplantae; Streptophyta; Magnoliopsida; Solanales; Solanaceae. The record is from RNAcentral.
GUCCCUUCGAGGAAAUCUGAUAAAAUUGGAAUGAUACAGAGAAGAUUAGCAUGACUCAUGUGCAAGGAUGACAUGCACAAAUUGAGAAAUGGUCUUGGACCUU